Molecule: ribosomal RNA, 460 nt
Filed under: uncultured bacterium
Lineage: Bacteria
Description: partial 16S ribosomal RNA
Rfam family: Bacterial small subunit ribosomal RNA
Source: RNAcentral
CCUACGGGCGACAGCAGUGAGGAAUAUUGGUCAAUGGACGAGAGUCUGAACCAGCCAAGUAGCGUGAAGGAUGACUGCCCUAUGGGUUGUAAACUUCUUUUAUAUGGGAAUAAAAUGUUCCACGUGUGCGUUUUUGUAUGUACCAUAUGAAUAAGGAUCGGCUAACUCCGUGCCAGCAGCCGCGGUAAUACGGAGGAUCCGAGCGUUAUCCGGAUUUAUUGGGUUUAAAGGGAGCGUAGAUGGGUUGUUAAGUCAGUUGUGAAAGUUUGCGGCUCAACCGUAAAAUUGCAGUUGAAACUGGCAGUCUUGAGUACAGUAGAGGUAGGCGGAAUUCGUGGUGUAGCGGUGAAAUGCUUAGAUAUCACGAAGAACUCCGAUUGCGAAGGCAGCUCACUAAACUGCAACUGACACUGAGGCUCGAAAGUGUGGGUAUCAAACAGGAUUAGAUACCCCUGUAGUC